ACUUAUUAUAAUGUUUUUUUUUUUUUACAUAAUCACGAAUAUAUAAUAAAAAAUUAAUAAGUCACGUUUAAAACGACCAGUAUAAUAUAGACACAUCGUUAUUAAUAGAAGUAAGAUAAUGAACUAUUCGAAAUCUUGAAUUAUUUCAAGUUUAAGAAAUUAAAACUGUUAGAAUUGAACAUACCGAACAGUUUAAAAUGAACCGAUGAUAACAGCAGAAAUCAUUUACCACAGUUGUUUUCAACUUACAAUUAUUACCUUUUUUGUUUCCAAUAUAGGAUGGGAUAGUUUUAUUAAUUUGAAAAAAGUUUGGAAAAUAUUCAAGACUCAAGUUCGUGUGUUCAAAUAAUUCAAGAAAAAUUAAGAUAAUAGCUCUGUUUUGAAUUGAUAUCCAAAUGUUUAAGUGGUGUAUCGCAUUAAUUCUAUGUUGCAACAUAAUAUUGAACAGUUAUAUGGAUUAACAUAUAAUCAAUACAAAUCACAAUGUUGUACUACAUUCGAGUUAAUAAAGCCAAAGGCAACUGACAGCAAAUCAAGUGGAAUUGAAAGGAACUAAAUGAAUUCAAAAUGGCAUCUUUACACAAUGUAAAUAUAGAGCCCUUUGAAAUUCUUUACAAAAAUGUAAACACGCGUUAAUAAUAAGAUCACAAUAAUUGUUGACGAACAAUGGUUUAAAAGUUAGAUAUAUCACGUUAUGUAUUUAGAAAAAUUGUAUAAUGUAGAGGAAAUCGACAUUAAAUAUG
Molecule: long non-coding RNA, 743 nt
Organism: Aphis gossypii (cotton aphid)
Lineage: Eukaryota; Metazoa; Arthropoda; Insecta; Hemiptera; Aphididae
Exons: 4
Source: RefSeq, a predicted model, not a curated record